This 466-nucleotide ribosomal RNA is filed under the name uncultured bacterium. RNAcentral describes it as "partial 16S ribosomal RNA". It matches the Rfam family "Bacterial small subunit ribosomal RNA", at positions 28 to 507 of the family's 1533-position model. The record is from RNAcentral.
GACGAACGCUGGCGGCGUGCUUAACACAUGCAAGUCGAACGGAAAGGCCCUGCUUGCAGGGUACUCGAGUGGCGAACGGGUGAGUAACACGUGGGUGAUCUGCCCUGCACUUCGGGAUAAGCUUGGGAAACUGGGUCUAGUACCGGGUAGGACCGCACUUUAGUGUGUGUGGUGGAAAGUUUUUUCGGUGUAGGAUGAGCUCGCGGCCUAUCAGCUUGUUGGUGGGGUAAUGGCCUACCAAGGCGGCGACGGGUAGCCGGCCUGAGAGGGUGUACGGCCACAUUGGGACUGAGAUACGGCCCAGACUCCUACGGGAGGCAGCAGUGGGGAAUAUUGCACAAUGGGCGCAAGCCUGAUGCAGCGACGCCGCGUGGGGGAUGAAGGCCUUCGGGUUGUAAACUCCUUUCGCUAGGGACGAAGCUUUGUUGUGACGGUACCUAGAUAAGAAGCACCGGCUAACUACGUG